Molecule: long non-coding RNA, 292 nt
Filed under: Elaeis guineensis (African oil palm)
Lineage: Eukaryota; Viridiplantae; Streptophyta; Magnoliopsida; Arecales; Arecaceae
Description: long non-coding RNA (EGUI_LNC051254)
Source: RNAcentral
AUAUACUGAGUAUAAUUUCUCUUCUAGUAACCUUGCUUCUUGCAAAAGAAGUACUCUGCCUAACUUUGAUCAGCCUUGAACUUGAGUUUCUGGGACUGACUCCCAGCACCAGGCACCUUCUUAAUUUUUUUUCUCUUUCUUAUAGGGAUGACGACUACCCAAAGAAGGUCCUCCCACUAGAUUCACUAUCUCCUUAUGGAACUGAUGAUCCUUCUCAAAAGUCUGCAGCAACCCCAACAGAUCGUGGUAGUUAACUACAGGCUUCGUCAUUCUGAAAUGAUUGAGGAACGGC